RNAcentral lists this ribosomal RNA (469 nucleotides) under uncultured bacterium. RNAcentral describes it as "partial 16S ribosomal RNA". It matches the Rfam family "Bacterial small subunit ribosomal RNA", at positions 28 to 507 of the family's 1533-position model. The record is from RNAcentral.
GACGAACGCUGGCGGCGUGCUUAACACAUGCAAGUCGAACGGAAAUGCCCUGCUUGCCGGGUGCUCGAGUGGCGAACGGGUGAGUAACACGUGGGUGAUCUGCCCCUUAUUUUGGGAUAAGCCUGGGAAACUGGGUCUAAUACUGGAUAGGACCAUGCUGUAGGUGGUGUGGUGGAAAGAUUAGUUUCGGUAAGGGAUGAGCUCGCGGCCUAUCAGCUUGUUGGUGGGGUAAUGGCCUACCAAGGCGUCGACGGGUAGCCGGCCUGAGAGGGUGGACGGCCACAUUGGGACUGAGAUACGGCCCAGACUCCUACGGGAGGCAGCAGUGGGGAAUAUUGCAAAAUGGGGGCAAGCCUGAUGCAGCGACGCCGCGUGGGGGAUGACGGCCUUCGGGUUGUAAACUCCUUUCAGCCAUGACGAAGCCCUUGUGGUGACGGUAGUGGUAGAAGAAGCACCGGCUAACUACGUG